Sus scrofa (pig) is the source of this 72-nucleotide transfer RNA. It matches the Rfam family "tRNA". Rfam says of the family: Transfer RNA (tRNA) molecules are approximately 80 nucleotides in length. The record is from Rfam. Lineage: Eukaryota; Metazoa; Chordata; Mammalia; Artiodactyla; Suidae.
UCCCUGGUGGUCCAGUGGUUAGGAUUUGGUGAUUUCACUGCCAUGGCCCAGGUUCAAUUCCUGGUCUGGGAA